AUCAUCCUGACACUCCCACUGCCGCUGCCUGCCUACUAGCUGAUCCAGAGCUAUCACGUGUUCACCUGGAACUUUACUCCAAGAUGAUUUGGUGGGAAUCAGCCCCCCCCCUUCUCUUCCAGGUUUCCAAGAUGCCUUUCCAGACUAGAACCCAGACGUGUGAACCGCUGGCCAGACACAACACUCUUCAAGUUAUGCAGGAGGCAGAGAGGAUUCAUCAGACUAAUUCUCCUGCUGCGACUGACAGAUCGGCCUGAGCUACAAUAGGGAGAAGAAUUAAAUGUAAAAACUCAAUAUUGUGGACCAGAGAUGGUGGUGAAUGCCUGCAAUCCUAGCACCUAGGAGACAGCCUUGCCUAGGGCCAUAGAUGCUAUUAGACGAGUGAAUCAGUCAAAGGUCAAAGUGUAAAAUGUUAUACUGUCUGCUUGAUGAGAGCCCAAGCUGGAAGCAUGUAUUAAAUCACACCCUGGACAAGGAUUCCGGAGGGAGUUGAAAGGGCAGAAGUUCCACUUAUCUCCAAGACCAUGACUGCCUCUGUUUUACAGAGUUCAGCAGCUUCUAUGACUGCAACCAGGGGAGCAGAAUUUUAUCAGUAAACUCUCUGGAAUGGAUAAAGGAGAUCUUCUGAGCAACCGUGGAAAUCCGACUGCUUUUAUGAUCUGUUGUUGAGUUGCUGUCAAUAAACUCAUAAAGGGCUUCUCCUAUGUGAUUAUAUCAAGAGCUAUAAAGGAGACAGUCAAUGUUAACACUGGAGUGAGGUAAAAAAUAUCUUCUAAAUUCAAUAUAAAGCUUCAAAGAGUCAGAUAUUUUGGAAAGUCUCAGAGUUUUAGUCUACGUAGCACCAUCUAGAGAAUUAAGUAGAACAUCUAGAGAACAAGAUCAGGAUCAGGUACGGAGACAGCUUUCUCUUGCUUAUGGAUUUGAGAGAUUUUAUGCAUCAUAGUAGAUGUGUGUUUGUGAAUGAAAAAUUGACUUGCUGAAUAAAUGAAGACAUUUAACCUCAGUACAAAAAUCCUCUCUGUAAUUUUAAUAAAGUCAAUGGCUAUAAGGUAGAGCGAACUCAUAUACUUAUUUUAAAGAUUAAUCACAGUUCAAAAUUGUUGCCCUCUGAAUUCAUUAGAAGUUCUUUCAUACAUUUGUGGUGGCUACAGAUUUUAAAGAAAAAAAUACAGUGUCAUCAUUUACUAUUUAGACUUGUAGAUUAAUAAUUUUAAAAUGUUAUUAUAUAUCAAUUUGAAAAUUUAAGUUUAUUAAUGUAUCUUCAAUAAUUUCUAAAUUAUUAUUAUAUACCAGUAUUUGUAGAAUUAAAUCUUUCAGGUACCCUCAGCAUAUAAAUUGUGUAUGGUGCUUGUUUGUAUCAUUAAACUUAAGUAAAUGUAAAUAUUAUAAGAGAAAACAUAAAUGAAAUAUCCAAUAUUGCAUGUCUUUGGAAUGAUUAUAGCUUUACACAGCUUUGAUCUGACAGAAAGAACUGAAUAAUAAAUAGCCCAUGUUUUGGAACCAAACAUCUGGUGUUGUAUUAUCUCUACCACUUAAUAACAUAGAACAAUAGGCAAGUUUUUCAACCUUUCCAUUUUCUUAAGUUUUCCUCACUGUAACAUUGAGUGAUUAGAGUCCCAACAUCAUCAUGUCAUAGUAAUGUUUACACAUAAUAGCAUUUGUUUAAUACUUGGAAACAUAUCUAGCAGAUAAAAGAUGUUCAAAUAAUAUGAACCCUUAUUAUUAAUUAUUUCUAUGUCUCUUAUAUAGCAUUAAACAUUGGGGAGGAGAAUGAACAUACAUUUAUGUCUUGUUUUAUUUUACCUUCAGUUAAGGAACUUUCAUAAUUGCAUUGUUUGCUCCUUUGGCUCCUUACCAUGUGCAACUUGGUCAUUAUUUCCUUUUCCUAAUAUAUUAGUGGAGGAAGCCAUGCACUAAUAAGAAAUCUCACAGCUCUGCCUUUUUAUUAAUACACUCCUUUCUUUGAUUUAUCCUUAUACAUACAAGUUUAUAUAUUUUCCCAUAUUUAACUACAUACAAAUUAUAUGAUGUAGUCUUCAAAGCAAUUUAAACAAUUAUAUAAAAUUUCCAUGUCACAACAUUUUUAAUGCAAGGUUAUAGCUUAAGAGUUAUGCAAGUCAGGAAAUCAGGUAGAUUCAAACUGACAGUUUUUUGCUUUAAAUGGAGUUAAUUGAAGUGAUUAAAUGGUACUAAGAUGGUGGAUGAGUAGGUCUGAAAAUGUACAAUUGUAUAUUUGUUUGCAGUUUUAAGAAGACUGGUGUCAGAUUAGGUUUUCUAGAGCACCCACAUGUUUCUCAGUAAAGAGUGUCUCAAUGGUGUUAGAUUUCUUACUUGGAGACUCAGAGGUCCCUGAAGAAUGGAAGAGAUCUAAAACUGUCAUUCUUUUAUGAAGUCAUGGGAAUACAUAUUAUUGUAUGAAUAUUUACAUUUACACAUACUUAUCUACCAUUCAUCUGUCUGUCUUUCUGUCAAUUUAUCUGUUACUUAUCUGUUCAUCUAUAGAUACAUGCCUAUGUACAUAUGCAAUGUAAAUAAAGUUAUGUCACCUAGAAUGACAAUGCCCCCGAUUUCUCACAAAGCUAUAAGUUAUCUAAAAAAAAUAUGCGAAAACAGUAAUAAGAAGCAGCCAUGGGUUUAAGAAGUAAUUGGAGGACAUGGAAUGAGUUGGGAGAGAAAAUGAAGCAAAUACAGUACUCGUCCAUGAAAUCUUCAAAAAUAUAUAAAAGGUAGGGCUCAGAAACUGGUGACAAAUUCAUUUCAGAGCUCACUCAAAUUCAUAAAUCUUUUAUCAAUAAAUUGAUAUGUAACCACAGUCCUACAAAACUGUUGACCUCCAGGCUCCGUAAUUCCUAUGAAAGUAUUUGUUAUACAAAUUGUAUCAAUGUAAUUACAAAUCAAUAAAGUUUACUUUAUUCCUU
This 2918-nucleotide long non-coding RNA is filed under the name Mus musculus (house mouse). Its description in RNAcentral is "predicted gene, 41259 (Gm41259)". Lineage: Eukaryota; Metazoa; Chordata; Mammalia; Rodentia; Muridae. The record is from RNAcentral.